UGCACGUGCUUCCCAUGCGUUGUGUUUAGGGUUGGUGAUUAAGACAAAUGGUUGUGCGUUCAUAAGAUGUCUGUCUCUGGAAAGUUUGUUAACGUUAUUCUUCCUAUCCAAACUGAAAGUUCAGGUUCCCCUACUUUUUGUAGCGUAUAUAAU
Molecule: long non-coding RNA, 153 nt
Organism: Haliotis rubra (blacklip abalone)
Lineage: Eukaryota; Metazoa; Mollusca; Gastropoda; Lepetellida; Haliotidae
Exons: 3
Source: RefSeq, a predicted model, not a curated record